Molecule: ribosomal RNA, 93 nt
Filed under: Sinocyclocheilus grahami
Lineage: Eukaryota; Metazoa; Chordata; Actinopteri; Cypriniformes; Cyprinidae
Source: RNAcentral
CCCAAGACUGGUUGCCCACUGAAGCUAAGCAGGGUUGAGCCUGGUUAAUACCUGGAUGGGAGACCUCCUGGGAAAACUAGGUUGCUGUUGGAA